UGAACCGAUUUUUUGUCUAUGUGAACAUAGAAGUAAUUUUCUUGCACUUGAUCUGUAAAAUAGGACAGAGAUACAACCGCACCUGGCCCUUGCACCAUCUGGCAUCUUUUGGCCGUCUUCUGCCGCUGGCGCACAAUCCAAUGAACCAUUUUUUUUUUUGUUCAUACAGAAUCCAAUGAGCUAAGUUGGUGUAGCAAUCCAAUCCAAUGAACUAGAUAAGAGUUAGUGCUAGAUGCAGCAAUUCUAUUUCAGUUUCAGACUGGGCACAGCCGCACAGGGCAACUAAUAUAAUGUGUCAAAUGGAGCUAAAGCAUCGAAACUAGGUGGACAUUCGCAAGACAAGGCAAGAUUUAGAAUACUCAGAUUAUACAUUUUGGCAUCUCUGGAUUGAAAUUCUUGUGUACUGUAUGUCGCGAGGAACACGGAACUCCGUUGCGUUUGUGCUAAUCAGGAAUUACAGGCAGAGUGGACAGCAGGAAAAUGAGAAAAAGAAUUAUAUAUAGCAGGAGCCCCGCACCACACAAGUCACAAGGGCUCAGGCGAGGGCUUCGGCACCGGCGACGAUCUCGAGGAUCUCCCCGGUGAUCUUGGCCUGGCGCUGUCGGUUGUAGGCGAUGGAGAGGUUCUUGGCGAGCUCGAUGGCGUUGUCGGUGGCGCUGCUCAUGGCGCUCAUCCGGGCGGCGAGCUCGCUGGCGAGCGACUCCUGCAGGGCACGGAGGAUCUGGCUGUUGAGGUAGAGCGGGAGCAGCGCGUCGAGGAUCUGCACGGGGUCCUGCUCGAACUGCACCACGGGGGAGAAGGGCUGCGUCUCGAUCUUCACCUUCUCGCGCUCCACGGUGAGCUUGCCCUCCUUGGUGGUGAGGCGGAAGAGCUCGUCCUCGGUGGCGUCCACGCAGACGCCGUUGAUGUCGCAGAUCUCGCCCUUGGGGGACAUGGGGAGCAGCGUCUGGAUGAUGGGGUCGGAGCGCACCAGCGACACGAACUUGGAGUAGAGCAGCUCCACCUUGUCCACCUCCUCCGAGACGAAGAGCGAGUAGACGAGGUCGCAGAUGGACUGCGAGUCCUUGACGGUGGGCACGCCGUUCACCUCCAGGUCCCGCUCCAGCGGGAUGUAGGGGCGGCGCUGGAAGUAGGCGUUGCCUUUCUUCCCCACGCUGAUGACGCUGUACUGGAGGCCCAGCUGCUUGAGCUCCUCGAUGCGGGCCUCCGCCUUCUUGAGCACGUUGUUGUUGAAGCUCCCGCAGAGGCCGCGCUCGCCGGUCAGGACCACGAGCGCCACCUUCUUGACGGGGCGGGUGCGGGUGAGGGGCAGGUCGAUGUCCUCCGUCUGGAUCUCCUGGUUCAUGUUGUAGAGCACCUCAACCAGCGCCUCCGAGAAGGGGCGGGAGGAGACGACGGCCUCCUGCGCGCGCCGGACCUUGGCGGCGGCCACCAGCUUCAUGGCCUCCGUGAUCUUCUGCGUGUUCUUGACGGAGUCGAUGCGGGUGCGGAGCUCGCGGAGGGAGCACCGCACCACGAGGCCCGAGCGCGGGGCGGAGCUUCCGCGCCGCUGGGUGGUGGAGGCGCUGCUGGCGAGCGCCGAGGAGGACCAGGCGGUGGAGAGGUGGGAGCACGACAUGGCUGCUGCUGCUGGUCCGCGGCGACGGGGAUCACCAGCGGGCGGCGGCGCGCGGGGGGGAAGCAGAAGAGACAGACAGGGGCGGGGACGGAACGGGAGGGAGGGAAAUGGGUUUGGAAGGAUUGGGUUUGGGUGGAGAGGUGAGCACGGUGGGGUAUUCAAGCCGAGCUGAGUGGUGGAGGGGCAGUGACGGCGAGAUGGGGAGGAUCAUGUGGCUCCGCCGAGCUGGCUGCACCCCCUGCAUACCGCUGACGCUCCACACUUCAUUUUUUGAUGAAUUGUCGGGAAUGAAAAACCAAAAAUAAUGCUAUGGCCUCUAGUUCCACAAAGGAUAGUGGGAUCCUGCUCAGGAUAUCCCACCUUAAACAACAGAUACUCUCUACGACCACAAUUUGGAGGAGCUCUUGCCCAUUUCUACAGGAAUCGAAUUAUUUCCACUGAAAUCCUGAAUAAUUUAUGUGUUCAAAAAGGAACCCAAGUUUAAGGCCUGUCCCGAACACAUCAAUUUCAUCACAAUUCCGAGAUAAAAAUGGAACUUUGAUGAUUCAAUCUGUUGAGUUGAAUUCACUCGUAUAAAAAAACGGCUCACCUAAACUGAUGCAAAGUUCAUGCCAAAAGAAGUAGAGACUGAUGAAAUUGGUAUUUCAAGAUAAAGCAAGGUACUCGAACAAGCACACAGACUGAGUGAUACAUACAAGUACAAAAUAUCAGGAUUAAGGGGAUGCAACCAAUUCUGGGAAGUAAAAGUUGAACCUCAGGGUACAACGACAGCAAUGGUACUGAUGACAUCCGCGUAGCCUAAUCCCUUGCAGAUUGAGCAUCUUUCCUUGGUGGCUUGUAGACACUGAAGUCACCGAAAUCCCGCCGUCCACUGCACCACACAAGAGGACAUACAGAUAGCAGUAAAUAUCUGGUGAUGAAAGGAAAUCUGGACGAAAAACAUCGCGACACAGAAAGAUCUUUUGAAGUCACUGGUACAUGGCUAAAACUUCACAUACAGCUUGGUAAAUUCAAGAAAAGGCAUAUAUGAAUGGCAACUAACCUGUGGUUAAUAUUCCAGCCAGAAGGUAAAUAACGGGGGUGAACAGCUUCAACAAAGAUCUGCCUCCAUCUUUGGCAGAACUGGUUAAUAGCUUCUUCCCCACCAUUUGAAAGCAAAAGUUCCACAACUUGUUUACCGUGAUGCCCAUGACCCAACAGGGAAAUCUUCUUCUCAGCAUUCUUGGAAAUGGCCUGGCUAGAAUUGUCGCGGAUGGAUAAUUCCCUGUCGACAUGGCUGUUUCCAGGAGUGCAGGUGCCUCUUGCUUGCUGCUUGGUAUCUGUCUUGAGUGUCACAGUGUCAUGAUCAAAAGUGGUGUCCUCCAUGCUGACUGGCAAACUUGAGCCAACCUGGCUCAGGGUUAAAUUCUCUAGCUGGUUUUGACUCUCUGUCUCGUCAAACUCCUGUUGACCAUUACUCUCAGUUCCAUCCUCAGGAAAUCGCUCAGAUAAGGAAUGAGAAUUUUCUGAUCCAUGUCCACUGUCUUCUGAGAUGGUAUUGCUGCUGCUCUUUCUAAUAAUAUUUUGAGCCUGAGCUCUGAACGAAUAGCCCUUUUUCUUUUCCAGACGCCUUCGCUCAUGAGGACUCAUACCAACAAGUAAUGCCACCUCGAGAUCUUCAGGAGUCACAUCCCUACCACCAUAAUAUGACUUCACAAUCUGCAAAGAACUGAACUGAUCCAUAACAGAGAUCUAUAGCUAAGAACAAGUACAUAUUUAACAAGGAAAGAAUAUGGACGGGUAGGAUAAAACAGGUAUGUUAAUACGUCAAUGCCAAAGCUCCCGAAACUGUGAAGUACUACAUAUUGAGCCAGAAAUACUAAAAGGAUGCCAUCACCUGCAUUAGCUCUUCACAUCUCUUCAAUGGCAUGGUGGAUCCAUGCCGUAGAAGAGCCAUGGCAGCGGUCCUCAGCUGCAAUGGGGAGACACCUGUUCCAUUCAAUUUAUCUUCAGAUACUGAUGUGCUCGUAAUCAAACUUAUAUCACCCGAGUUCAUUAUCUUUUGCACAAAAAGGGGUAUUCCAAAUUCUUCUGCUAUUCGCCUCUUGUAUUUCUCAGCUGCUGAAUGAGCAAUUUCAUGACAGUCUACACAAAGAAGUACAAUAUCAUGUGAACGAUGGCUCUUCAGAUGUUCUGGAAAAUGCAUCCUGUAGCAUGAUGGUAUUAUUCUGUAUCUAAUAUAAUGGCUCUUUUCUCCACAGCCAACACAAAUAUUUUUCUUGCUCUGAAUAUAGAACUCAUUAUCUUCGUCCUCUGGACGACCUUUAGGUUCAAAGAGAAGCAUGAUUGCUGGAGGACUAUCUUCAAUCAAUUUCGCCAAAUUACGUUGAACAUACCUGGGAAUGGGAUAGAAGAGCUCGUCAGUUUGACAAAAUACCUCUUCAUUCAUGCUACAUGCAUGUAAAUAGUUAAUGGGUGUAUAUUUAAGAGACAAACCAUUCCAAUUUUUUGUGGUCACAGUAGCAAAGUAGUCUUCCAUCACUAGCAUAAAUCCUGCAAUUGUGAUAUACAGGGGACUUGCAGGAGAACUUUUUAAUGAAUAAAUCCCGUGAAGCCUUUUUAUUAGGCGGUGCUGUCAGCAACUUUUCUCCACUUGGAGCAAAAGAAAACAUAUUUGUUUGCUUCAAACUUAGGUGUGUUAUAAGGUUAUAAUUAUAAACUGACAGUCGACAUAAUCCACUUGGAUCUUUAUACUUCUCCAGUAAACUUUUAAAGAUGCCUUCCAUGCUGGUAGUGAUGUCAUCUAGCAGAUAGCAAAGUUCUUCAACAUGAGCGACCACAAGAGGUGACGGUGAUGACAAGGAAGGGUACAUACUUGAAAUGCUUAGGUCAGUUUCUGAUAUGACAGCAAACACCUCUGUUGGGCCUUUUGGAAGACUAACAGCAAGGGCAGCUAUAGCUUGGUCUGACAGAACAUAUCGUAAGCUUUCAUCAUGCAUCCGAGCCUGGAAGGACCCAAAACCCAAGUUAUUAGGAGAUACUAGAAAGGAAGAACAGACCUGCAGCUACAUAACUGCAAAUAUGCAUGACUAUCCUGGUGACCACCAGAUGUCACUCGGGCAAGUUUAGCAAUGGGCACAUGGAAGCAACAAAUGCAUUUCCAGGAAGAACAAAGUGUACAACUUUCUAAGAAAUACUGAAGAUUGUCUGUUUUAACCCUUUAAUAACACGAUGAUGUUCCAAUGUUUGAUCCGGAAUUCAAAGAUUGAUAAAAAUGUUACUACAUCCAGUCAAGAAAAGUUCAUGUUUCAGACAAGUCAGAAACUAGUUUGCUGCUGCUUUCACUUGUCUGAACAUCAAGAUUUGCUGACCGGAGGUAACAACAAAUAAGUAAUUAAAAAGAUUUACUUUGCAGAGGGAGAGGGAGCCAUUUUAAGGGAAAUAGUUUUUUUUUUACUGACCAUUAAGUCCCUCCAUGCACAGAAUUUCCAAACAAGAUCCUGCAGAUGCAGAAGAUUAAAAAAUCAGGAACAGAAAAUACUAAAAUCGUUGGCUGGCAAGCUAACCAGAAGACAUUCUACAAUCAAACAGUGAAUACAUAAAAGAAGCACCUUCACUUCACUAGACUUUUUGGAGUCGAGACCAUGAGUUUGCAAAUUUCGUGAGAGAAUAGAUGCUGCACUGGAAGCUCCAGGAGGACAUUCAAUUUCUUUUGCAUACAGUUGCAUGCAGACCAUAUUUGAGCGAUGACUAGCCUCGAAGAAAAAAUUGAUUUUAUCACUGGAAGUAUCUGAUUAGAUAUUACAGAUGAUCAAAGACUUGAGACAUGUGAUGAAGGCCAAGGGUACCACCGUACCAAUAUGUGAUUUGAUGUUGACAAGAAAAGAGAAAAUAUUUAGGACUAUCCAAAUCUUAUGAGGGUUAAUGUAUCAAUUUCUGCAGUUCAGCAAUAGGAUGUCAUGAGUGCCUCAUCACUGCCAUCUGCCUUUCUUGGUCCCCCUUAAUACUGCUUCCUUUCUUAACUACACAUCAGGAAUAUAUAGAGAUGACACAUUGUGCUUACCAUUCAAAAGCUUAUGUUGACAUUGUGAAAAAAGUUUUUGACACUCAAAAUAAUAAGAAAGUGGCCAUCUAGUUUUCCGCAGGUGAAUAGGAUUGCAUAUGCUUGUUAAUGAAAUACCCCAGCUUACAUAACUCCAUAGUGUACGAUUCAAAGUUCUUUUUCCAUUGAUAGCACAUGCUUCCUAAUUUUAAUUGAUUAUUCACAGUUUACCCAGGAAAAUCCCAAGGCAUGGGUCGAAUAGUGUAAUUUUUAAAAAGGACUCAUCAUUUCCAAGGAUAAUGCAUUUCAUUUCUGAACCCCAGUACUAGCAAGAAGUGUUUCAAGCUGCUAGUGUCUAAGAAUGAAAAACAGCAUCAUCCAACUCAAGAACCAACAAUCCAAAGAACUUUUGUUCUUCAUACCAUGUGAAAUAGUUUAAAAACUUAAUGGAACUAUGACUUCUACACUCUGAGAUAGCAAGUUCAAAUAUAUUAGAUAACUGUGAGGUUACUGAACGGUGAACAAAAAUGAAGCACAAACUAUAGGAAAGGAAAAGCUGAUACAGCACUUAGAACAUACCACAGGCUUUUGCAUGGAGCUCCGAUGCCAAACAAUUUGCAAUGUACAACAGAUAGUGAGCAUCAGUGCGAGCAUACUCAAUCAUUUCGGGAGUCAGAGGACGCAGUCUCCAAUCUUCACGCUGGGGUUUCAAAAUCAAGGUAGGAAGAAACAAAAUGGGAGCGGAUAUCAGGCAAUUGCAAUAUUGGAAUUUUUGAGUUUCCAACAAACUUAUUUUGAAUACCAAAAGAAAUAUGGCUUACAACAUGUAUGUACUUGGUUAUCAUUUUCAAAAGCAUGUCAUCUAUUCAACACCAAACAUAAUGCUCGAUAGCAAGUAAGUUCAAGAAAAUAUCUUUUGUAAAGAAACUUAGAGUUUGCUCAACGGAAGAUAAAUUCAAAGGUGGUGAUCAUGAAUUAUCUUUAUUUGAAUUGAUUAAAACAGCAUGGGAACUAUGCAUUCAUAGAUGCAUGUAAUGACUCCACAUAAUUUAAGAUUUGACAACCAGGCUGUGAAGGAUGUAAAGACCAGUUAUUUGGAAACCAAUCAAAACUAACUGGGUAGGUUGGAGCUAAUGUACGGUGGACAGUUGACCUUAUAAGUUCUCAUGGGUAGUAAGCUACCUUACCUUGUUUAUAUUAAGAUAUAAAUUGAGCAAGUCAGAAUACAAGAUAAACAUAUGUAAGCCAAACAUGCCUUAAAAGUAUGUUUUAGCACUAUGUUUUGAAUAUAAUCUAUAUUUCUAUUCAACAACUGAAAAAAGUGGUAUCCCUGUAGUAAACUCUGACUCCAUGGGACAGCAUGCCAAGCAGACCCUAGAUCUGCUUCUUUGUUUUAUUGUAAUUUACAAUGUGAAAACAUAAUAAAUAGUGUACUCCUCAGUAACCGAAUACACUUUUUUAAGCAUUCUGCCUCAUAUUUCCCGUCCUCUCAUGGAAGCAUGAGUGCAUAAGGUCAACUGGCAUUGGAUAAAUGAGUGGCUUCACUGAACCCGGUACUUUUAAGCUGAUACUGAACGAUUACCUACCUGCAUGGUCUUGUCAGUGGUCACUUCACAAUAUACUUCAAGCAAAUAUGCAAGUGAUUUUUGUGGUUUUGAUAGAGUUUCACAUGCCUGUAAUAAAAUCAGUUGUAAGGCACAAUUAAGAAAAGAUGCACGCAUUCAUAGCAUAGAAAAAACAAACUAAGGAUGUAAAUUCAGAAAUGAAAAAAAAGGACGUUUCACACAAACUUAUCAAAAAAUUGAGUGAGGGGGAAAGAAAUAAAAUUGUUCAAAAACCAAAAGAUUUGUAAGCAUGAUUGUAGCAUGCGAUUAUACGGUGAGCAAAGAUGGUUUUAUAACUAAAAGUUCUGAACUUCUGAUUCUUAACUGCAAUGGCAUUCCACCACAUGAUAUGUUCAUUCACAAAGCUUUUCAUGUUGCAGUUAUGAGGUUGACAUUUCCAUGCUUCAGUAAUAGAAAGUAUAAUCAAUUAUCUGACUGAAAUCUAUUAUAUCACUUUUAAAAGGUGAGUGAAAAAGGAGGAACAAGAACACCACAUCAUCAUAUCAUUUCCCCGCCCUUGGACUAAAUGAACCAUAUAAUCUAGAACCUAAUACUGAAGCAAUCAAUAUCAUAUAGUAGCAUAGUACAAUUGAAAACAACCUGUUUCUGAGAAACCAUGAUAAAAGUAAUAAAGAGGGAGAUAACAUUUUUCUGGAUUGACAUUCUUAGUUAACUAGGUACAGUAUAGGGGGUCUUCCUUCAUUUGUUAAUAAUACAACUUUUUCAAGUGAUACAGUAUUUGUUAAUCAUAUUCCUUUCAUUUCAUAGAGCAGUUACAACAUGCAUACAUGUGAUGUGAUCUACAAAAAGUUAGAAAUGACCCAAAAAAUCACUAAACUACCUGCACAGAAUUGUUCCUUGUGAAAAUGGGGUGUCAAUUUAAGCAAUGCAUGCCACACAACAUGCUGUACCAAAAAGGUCUAGCAAGCAAAUGACAUUAAAUGUGUUACAUACCAGAAAUCUUUGCAGAAUAGAUAAAAUGCGUGAAAAGGAUAUGUUAUGCAGGUACUUACCUUGGCAGUAUCAAACAUAUUCACAACAUAAAUAUGAAAAUCCCUUUGAAGCCAAAGAACAUCAUUGUCAGCUCCAUGGAAUAUCUACAGCAUAAGGCAAAAGAGAAAUGUGUGUAUUUAGGAUGUCCUACACUCCUACAGCUUAUCUUUUAUUCUAGGCUGAGUAAUUGAGGGGCAUAUAAACACAGUAAAGGGAAAAAAUAAUCUGCUGACAUCAGUAGGUCCUACAGCUUAUACCUAUAAUGCAUAUCCGAAAAGUAAACUCAACUACAUUUCAAUGGCAUGUAAAUAGAGUUUGUGGCAGUAUCUUUGCUUGUACUGUAAUAGAGCUUAAAGUUUGCAGUCACCACUGAAAAAUGAAAAUAAAUGGCUUACCACUGGCAGGUGGCAGCAGG
RNAcentral lists this long non-coding RNA (8651 nucleotides) under Sorghum bicolor (sorghum). Its description in RNAcentral is "long non-coding RNA (SBIC_LNC003778)". Lineage: Eukaryota; Viridiplantae; Streptophyta; Magnoliopsida; Poales; Poaceae. The record is from RNAcentral.